This 492-nucleotide ribosomal RNA is filed under the name uncultured bacterium. Its description in RNAcentral is "partial 16S ribosomal RNA". It matches the Rfam family "Bacterial small subunit ribosomal RNA", at positions 29 to 507 of the family's 1533-position model. The record is from RNAcentral.
AGUGAACGCUGGCGGUAGGCCUAACACAUGCAAGUCGAACGGCAGCACAGUAAGAGCUUGCUCUUACGGGUGGCGAGUGGCGGACGGGUGAGGAAUACAUCGGAAUCUACUUUUUCGUGGGGGAUAACGUAGGGAAACUUACGCUAAUACCGCAUACGACCUACGGGUGAAAGCAGGGGAUCUUCGGACCUUGCGCGAUUGAAUGAGCCGAUGUCGGAUUAGCUAGUUGGCGGGGUAAAGGCCCACCAAGGCGACGAUCCGUAGCUGGUCUGAGAGGAUGAUCAGCCACACUGGAACUGAGACACGGUCCAGACUCCUACGGGAGGCAGCAGUGGGGAAUAUUGGACAAUGGGCGCAAGCCUGAUCCAGCCAUACCGUGUGGGUGAAGAAGGCCUUCGGGUUGUAAAGCCCUUUUGUUGGGAAAGAAAAGCAGCAGGUUAAUACCCCGCUGUUCUGACGGUACCCAAGGAAUAAGCACCGGCUAACUUCGUG